AGUGAACGCUGGCGGUAGGCCUAACACAUGCAAGUCGAACGGCAGCACAGUAAGAGCUUGCUCUUACGGGUGGCGAGUGGCGGACGGGUGAGGAAUACAUCGGAAUCUACUUUUUCGUGGGGGAUAACGUGGGGAAACUUACGCUAAUACCGCAUACGACCUACGGGUGAAAGCAGGGGAUCUUCGGACCUUGCGCGAUUGAAUGAGCCGAUGUCGGAUUAGCUAGUUGGCGGGGUAAAGGCCCACCAAGGCGACGAUCCGUAGCUGGUCUGAGAGGAUGAUCAGCCACACUGGAGCUGAGACACGGUCCAGGCUCCUACGAGAGGCAGCAGUGGGGAAUAUUGGACAGUGGGCGCAAGUCUGAUCCAGCCAUACCGCGUGGGUGAAGAAGGCCUUCGGGUUGUAAAGCCCUUUUGUUGGGAAAGAAAAGCAGCAGGUUAAGACCCCGCUGUUCUGACGGUACCCAAAGAAUAAGCACCGGCUAACUUCGUG
This 492-nucleotide ribosomal RNA is filed under the name uncultured bacterium. Its description in RNAcentral is "partial 16S ribosomal RNA". It matches the Rfam family "Bacterial small subunit ribosomal RNA", at positions 29 to 507 of the family's 1533-position model. The record is from RNAcentral.